AGUUAUCACCUGCCCGGUGGAGUGAGGAACAGCCCGCCAGGGCCCUGCUGGGCACAGACCAGGCUUCAGCCACCUGGAGCCUUCCCUGGUUUGGCCGUCACCCUUCCACCCUGAUCUCUCCUGAGCCUGGGGAGCCCUCACGGAAAAGCCAGAAGAAAUUAACAUACAGCAUAAAAGAAUAAGAUCAGACUUCAGGAAGAACCACCAGACGGGGCUGGAAAACACAGACAAGAUCACGGAGUUCCUUUGGGAAAGGUUGCCCCACGCCUUGAACCUCCCUCAGUUUCCCUCUCAGUCUCUUCAGCUCCUGGCCAGCUCUCUUCUCCUCUCGCCUUGGAGGGUCUCCCACCACCUUGCAGAACAUCAGCACCCACCAAAUUCCCUUGCCUCUGCCCAAGGUCUCCACCCAGCCUACGUGGGCAAAAUUUCAAAUUCCAAAAUAAAAACUCUCUGAUAACGAGUCCCAGCCGGAAAGACUGAUGCACUUUCCUAUUGUUAAAGUAUUUUUAGUCACAGGCUCUGGAUUCGUUUAGAGACUCACGUUCAGAAAGGGGAAAAUUUUUUUUUG
Molecule: long non-coding RNA, 568 nt
Filed under: Homo sapiens (human)
Lineage: Eukaryota; Metazoa; Chordata; Mammalia; Primates; Hominidae
Description: HSALNT0189103
Source: RNAcentral